AACGCUGGCGGCGUGCCUAAUACAUGCAAGUCGAACGAAGCUUUCUUUCACCGAAUGCUUGCAUUCACCGAAAGAAAACUUAGUGGCGAACGGGUGAGUAACACGUAGGCAACCUGCCCAAAAGAGGGGGAUAACACUUGGAAACAGGUGCUAAUACCGCAUAACCAUGAACACCGCAUGAUGUUCAUGUAAAAGACGGCUUUUGCUGUCACUUUUGGAUGGGCCUGCGGCGUAUUAACUUGUUGGUGGGGUAACGGCCUACCAAGGUGAUGAUACGUAGCCGAACUGAGAGGUUGAUCGGCCACAUUGGGACUGAGACACGGCCCAAACUCCUACGGGAGGCAGCAGUAGGGAAUCUUCCACAAUGGACGAAAGUCUGAUGGAGCAACGCCGCGUGAAUGAAGAAGGCCUUCGGGUCGUAAAAUUCUGUUGUCAGAGAAGAACGUGCGUGAGAGUAACUGUUCACGUAUUGACGGUAUCUGACCAGAAAGCCACGGCUAACUACGUGCCAGCAGCCGCGGUAAUACGUAGGUGGCAAGCGUUGUCCGGAUUUAUUGGGCGUAAAGGGAACGCAGGCGGUCUUUUAAGUCUGAUGUGAAAGCCUUCGGCUUAACCGAAGUAGUGCAUUGGAAACUGGAAGACUUGAGUGCAGAAGAGGAGAGUGGAACUCCAUGUGUAGCGGUGAAAUGCGUAGAUAUAUGGAAGAACACCAGUGGCGAAAGCGGCUCUCUGGUCUGUAACUGACGCUGAGGUUCGAAAGCGUGGGUAGCAAACAGGAUUAGAUACCCUGSUAGUCCACGCCGUAAACGAUGAGUGCUGAGUGUUGGAGGGUUUCCGCCCUUCAGUGCUGCAGCUAACGCAUUAAGCACUCCGCCUGGGGAGU
This 883-nucleotide ribosomal RNA is filed under the name uncultured bacterium. RNAcentral's name for it is "bacterial SSU rRNA". It matches the Rfam family "Bacterial small subunit ribosomal RNA", at positions 32 to 881 of the family's 1533-position model. The record is from RNAcentral.